This 253-nucleotide ribosomal RNA is filed under the name uncultured bacterium. Its description in RNAcentral is "partial 16S ribosomal RNA". It matches the Rfam family "Bacterial small subunit ribosomal RNA", at positions 524 to 776 of the family's 1533-position model. The record is from RNAcentral.
UACAGAGGUGGCAAGCGUUGUUCGGAAUUACUGGGCGUAAAGGGCGCGUAGGCGGUUCGUUAAGUCCUGUGUGAAAUCCCCGGGCUCAACCCGGGAACUGCGUCCGAUACUGGCAGGCUUGAAUUCGGGAGAGGGAUGCGGAAUUCCAGGUGUAGCGGUGAAAUGCGUAGAUAUCUGGAGGAACACCGGUGGCGAAGGCGGCAUCCUGGACCGAGAUUGACGCUGAGGCGCGAAAGCCAGGGGAGCAAACGGG